RNAcentral lists this transfer RNA (70 nucleotides) under Archimandrita tessellata. Its description in RNAcentral is "tRNA-Ala". Lineage: Eukaryota; Metazoa; Arthropoda; Insecta; Blattodea; Blaberidae. The record is from RNAcentral.
AGGACAGUAGUUAAUUAUAACAUUUGAGUUGCAUUCAAAAAGUAUUGAUUAUUUAAGUCAAUCUAUCUUA